Long non-coding RNA from Hibiscus syriacus, 155 nucleotides. RefSeq lists it as uncharacterized. Lineage: Eukaryota; Viridiplantae; Streptophyta; Magnoliopsida; Malvales; Malvaceae. The transcript has 3 exons. The record is from RefSeq and is a predicted model, not a curated record.
AUAUACAGAACUAAAUAUUGUAAACCAUUACCUCAAAAGAGAUAAUAUAGAAAUACGAUGAUCUUAGUUAUAUUGCAGAUAAACAAAUAAUUUAGCAUACCAAUUUAGCUAGAAUUUCAAAUGUUUUACUAUAUUAAUUGUUAUUAUACAGGCAG